This 206-nucleotide ribosomal RNA is filed under the name uncultured bacterium. Its description in RNAcentral is "partial 16S ribosomal RNA". It matches the Rfam family "Bacterial small subunit ribosomal RNA", at positions 568 to 774 of the family's 1533-position model. The record is from RNAcentral.
CGCGUAGGCGGGAUGGCAAGUCGGUCGUGAAAUCCCUCGGCUCAACCGAGGAGCGUCGGCCGAUAUUGCCGUUCUUGAGGGAUGCAGAGGAGACUGGAAUUCCCGGUGUAGCGGUGAAAUGUGUAGAGAUCGGGAGGAACACCGGUGGCGAAGGCGGGUCUCUGGGCAUCUCCUGACGCUGAGGCGCGAAAGCGUGGGAGCAAACG